UGAGUAACCUGCCCUUCACUCUGGGAUAACUCCGGGAAACCGGGGCUAAUACUGGAUAUGACUCGAACAGGCAUCUGUUUCGGGUGGAAAGAUUUAUUGGUGGGGGAUGGACUCGCGGCCUAUCAGCUUGUUGGUGAGGUAAUGGCUCACCAAGGCGACGACGGGUAGCCGGCCUGAGAGGGUGAUCGGCCACAUUGGGACUGAGACACGGCCCAGACCUCCGUACGGGGAGCA
Molecule: ribosomal RNA, 234 nt
Filed under: uncultured bacterium
Lineage: Bacteria
Description: partial 16S ribosomal RNA
Rfam family: Bacterial small subunit ribosomal RNA
Source: RNAcentral